GCCCGGGUGGCGGAAUUGGCAUACGCGCUGAGUUUAAGCCUCAGUGCCGCAAGGCAUGUGGGUUCGAGUCCCACCCCGGGCA
Candidatus Lloydbacteria bacterium is the source of this 82-nucleotide non-coding RNA. The record is from Rfam. NCBI's taxonomy places the organism in Bacteria, Candidatus Lloydiibacteriota.